RNAcentral lists this long non-coding RNA (339 nucleotides) under Elaeis guineensis (African oil palm). RNAcentral describes it as "long non-coding RNA (EGUI_LNC049457)". Lineage: Eukaryota; Viridiplantae; Streptophyta; Magnoliopsida; Arecales; Arecaceae. The record is from RNAcentral.
GAUUGCGAGUCUCGAGGGUCUUCUGGUAGAGAGGAGGUAGGGAUCCUCUAGGAGUGGAAUCGUGAUCAGACCGGGGGCUCUCCACCCUCGGAUUCCUCUUUUCAGGGAAGACAGGAUGACUGGCCCAAGUGGCCCGCCCUACUGUCGGAUCUUGGAACUCCAGUGAUGCUCUUUCCAACUGUACUGACACUUGUGGCUGUUGCUGCUGCUGCAUGGCCUGCACUACUUCGGUGAGGUCUCUAACCUACUGAACCAGCAGGUCAAACUGCUCCAUACCGACCGUCGUUGUCGGAGGAGGAGGAGCCUGAAAACUGGAGGUGAGGUCGGAGCCUGAGAUCC